CGGCGUGCUUAACACAUGCAAGUCGAACGGGAUCUGCGUGGCCUUUGUGGUUGUGUGGUGAGAGUGGCGAACGGGUGAGUAACACGUGAGUAACCUGCCUUUUUCUUUGGGAUAACGCUCAGAAAUGGGUGCUAAUACUGGAUGUUCUGCGCUUUCCGCAUGGGGGGUGUGGGAAAGGGGCCUUUGUGGUUUCUGGAGGGAGAUGGGCUCGCGGCUUAUCAGCUUGUUGGUGGGGUGAUGGCUUACCAAGGCUUUGACGGGUAGCCGGCCUGAGAGGGUGGGCGGUCACAUUGGGACUGAGAUACGGCCCAGACUCCUACGGGAGGCAGCAGUGGGGAAUUUUGCACAAUGGGGGGAACCUUGAUGCAGCGACGCCGCGUGAGGGAUGGAGGCCUUCGGGUUGUGAACCUCUUUCGCUCGUGUGCAAGCCGCUAUUUGGGUAGUGGUGAGUGUAGCGGGUAAAGAAGCGCCGGCUAACUACGUGCCAGCAGC
Molecule: ribosomal RNA, 492 nt
Filed under: Schaalia radingae
Lineage: Bacteria; Bacillati; Actinomycetota; Actinomycetes; Actinomycetales; Actinomycetaceae
Description: bacterial SSU rRNA
Rfam family: Bacterial small subunit ribosomal RNA
Source: RNAcentral